GUGGGGAAUAUUGGACAAUGGGGGGAACCCUGAUCCAGCGACGCCGCGUGAGUGAAGAAGUAUUUCGGUAUGUAAAGCUCUGUCAGCAGGGAAGAAAUCAUGACGGUACCUGACCAAGAAGCCCCGGCUAACUACGUGCCAGCAGCCGCGGUAAUACGUAGGGGGCAAGCGUUAUCCGGAAUUACUGGGUGUAAAGGGAGCGUAGACGGUUAAGUAAGUCUGGAGUGAAAGGCUGGGGCCCAACCCCGGGACUGCUCUGGAAACUAUUUAACUUGAGUGCAGGAGAGGUAAGCGGAAUUCCUAGUGUAGCGGUGAAAUGCGUAGAUAUUAGGAGGAACACCAGUGGCGAAGGCGGCUUACUGGACUGUAACUGACGUUGAGGCUCGAAAGCGUGGGGAGCAAACAGGA
Molecule: ribosomal RNA, 408 nt
Filed under: uncultured bacterium
Lineage: Bacteria
Description: bacterial SSU rRNA
Rfam family: Bacterial small subunit ribosomal RNA
Source: RNAcentral